Molecule: long non-coding RNA, 814 nt
Organism: Oncorhynchus tshawytscha (Chinook salmon)
Lineage: Eukaryota; Metazoa; Chordata; Actinopteri; Salmoniformes; Salmonidae
Source: Ensembl
GAGGAGAGAGGGACUGGGUCUGUGCUGGGAGGAGAGAGGGACUGGGUCUGUGCUGGGAGGAGAGAGGGACUGGGGCUGUGCUGGGAGGAGAGAGAGACUGGGUCUGGGAGGAGAGAAGGACUGGAGCUGUGUUUGGAGGAGAGAGGGACUGGAGCUGUGCUGGGAGGAGAGAGGGACUGGAGCUGUGCUGGGAGGAGAGAGGGACUGGGGCUGUGCCGGUGAGGAGAGAAGGACUGGGGCUGUGCUGGGAGGAGAGAGGGACUGGAGCUUGGAGGAGAGAGGGACUGGGUCUGUGUUUGGAGGAGAGAGGGACUGGAGCUGUGCUGGGAGGAGAGAGGGACUGGGGCUGUGCUGGGAGGAGAGAGGGACUGGGGUUGUGCUUGGAGGAGAGAGGGACUGGGGCUGUGCUGGGAGGAGAGAGGGACUGGAGCUGUGCUGGGAGGGGAGAGGGACUGGAGCUGUGCUGGGAGGAGAGAGGGACUGGGGCUGUGCUGGGAGGAGAGAGGGACUGGGGCUGUGCUGGGAGGAGAGAGGGACUGGAGCUGUGCUGGGAGGAGAGAAGGACUUGGUCUGGGAGGAGAGAGGGACUGGGUCUGUUCUGGGAGGAGAGAGGGACUGGGGCUGUGCUGGGAGGAGAGAGGGACUGGAGCUGUGCUGGGAGGAGAGAGAGACUGGGUCUGGGAGGAGAGAAGGACUGGAGCUGUGUUUGGAGGAGAGAGGGACUGGAGCUGUGCUGGGAGGAGAGAGGGACUGGGCUGUGCUGGGAGGAGAGAGAGACUGGGGCUGUGCUGGGAGGAGAGAAGGACUGGGGCUG